CUGAGAUUGGGCAAUUUACAAAAGAAAGAGCUUUUAUUAUUAUUAUUAUUAUUAUACUUUAAGUUCUAGGGUACAUGUGCACAAAGUGCUGGUUUGUUACAUAAGUAUACAUGUGCCAUGUUGGUUUGCUGCCCCCAUCAACUCAUCAUUUACAUUAGGUAUUUCUCCUAAUGCUAUCCCUCCCCCAGCCCCCCACCCUCCAACAGGCCCCAGUGUGUGAUGUUCCUUUCCCUAUACCCAUGUGUUCUCAUUGUUCAACUCCCACUUAUGACUGAGAACAUGCAGUGUUUGGUUUUCUGUCCUUGUGAUAUUUUGCUGAGAAUGAUGGUUUCCAGAUUCACCCGGGUCCCUACAAAGGACGUGAACUCAUCCUUUUUUAUGGCUGCAUAGUAUUUCAUGGUGUAAAUGUGCCACAUUUUCUUUAUCCAGUCUAUCAUUGAUAGACAUUUGGGUAGGUUCCAAAUCUUUGCUAUUGUGAAUAGUGCCACAAUAAACGUACGUGUGCAUGUGUCUUUAUAGUAGCAUGAUUUAUAAUCCUUUGGGUAUAAACCCAGUAAUGGGAUUGCUGGGUCAAAUGGUAUUUCUGGCUCUAGAUCCUUGAGGAAUCACCACACUGUCUUCCACAGUGCUUGAACUAAUUUACACUCCCACCAACAGUGUAAAAGCAUUCCUAUUUCUCCACAUCCUCUCUAGCAUCUGUUGUUUCCUGACUUUUUAAUGAUCGCCAUUCUAACUGGCAUGAGAUGGUAUCUCAUUGUGGUUUUGUUUGCAUUUCUCUGAUCGCCAGUGAUGAUGAGCAUUUUUUCAAAUGUCUGUUGGCUGCAUAAAUGUCUUCUUUUGAGAAGUGUCUGUUCUUAUCCUUUGCCCACAUUUUGAUGGGGUUGUUUGUUUCUUGUAAAUCUUUUUAAGUUCUUUGUAGAUUCUGGAUAUUAGCCCUUUGUCAGAUGGAUAGAUUGCAAACAUUUUCUCCCAUUAUGUAGGUUGCCUGUUGUUUGAUUUUUUUCUUGUAAAUUUGUUUAAGUUCUUUGUAGAUUCUGGAUAUCAGCCCUUUGUCAGAUGGAUAGAUUGCAAACAUUUUCUCCCAUUAUGUAGGUGGCCUGUUCACUCUGAAGAUAUAUUCUUUUACUGUGCAGAAUCUCUUUAACUUAAUUAGAUCCCGUUUGUCAAUUUUGGCUUUUGUUGCCAUUGCUUUUGGUGUUUUAGUCAUGAAGUCUUUGCCAAUGCCUAUGUCCUGAAUGGUAUUGCCCAGGUUUUCUUCUAGGGUUUUUAUGGUUUUAGGUCUAACAUUUAAAUCUUUAAUCCAUUGUGAGUUAAUUUUUGUGUAAGGUGUAAGGAAGGGAUCCAGUUUCAGCUUUCUACAUAUGGCUAACCCGUUUUCCCAGCACCAUUUAUUAAAUAGGGAAUCCUUUCCCCAUUGCUUGUUUUUGUCAGGUUUGUCAAAGAUGAGAUACUUUUAGAUGUGUAGUGUCAUUUCUGAGGUCUCUGUUCUGUUCCAUUUGUCUAUAUAUCUGUUUUGGUGCCAUUAUCGUGCUGUUUUGGUUACUGUAGCCUUGUAGUAUAGUUUGAAGUCAGGUAGCAUGAUGCCUCCAGCUUUUUUCUUUUGGCUUAGGAGUGACUUGGUGAUGCGGGCUCUUUUUUGGUUCCAUAUGAACUUUUAAGUAGUUUUUUCCAAUUCUGUGAAGAAAGUCAUUGGUAGCUUGAUGGGGAUGGCAUUGAAUCUGUAAAGUACCUUGGGCAGUAUGGCCAUUUUCACGAUAUUGAUUCUUCCUACCCAUGAGCAUGGAAUGUUCUUCCAUUUGUUUGUCUCCUCUUUUAUUUCAUUGAGCAGUAGUCUGUAGUUCUCCUUGGAGAGGUCCUUCACAUCCCUUGUAAGUUGGAUUCCUAGGUAUUUUAUUUUCUUUGAAGCAAUUGUGAAUGGAAUUUCACUCAUGAUUUGGCUCUUUGUUUGUCUGUUAUUGGUGUAUAAGAAUGCUUGUGAUUUUUGUACAUUGAUUUUGUAUCCUGAGACUUUGCUGAAGUUGCUUAGCAGCUUAAGGAGAUUUUGGGCUGAGACAAUGGGGUUUUCUAGAUAUACAAUCAUGUCAUCUGCAAACAGGGACAAUUUGACUUCCCCUUUUCCUAAUUGAAUACCCUUUAUUUCCUUCUCCUGCCUAAUUGCCCUGGCCAGAACUUCCAACACUAUGUUGAAUAGGAGUGGUGAGAGAGGGCAUCCCUGCCUUGUGCCAGUUUUCAAAGGGAAUGCUUCCAGUUUUUGCCCAUUCAGUAUGACAUUGGCUGUGGGUUUGUCAUAGAUAGCUCUUAUUAUUUUCAGAUAUGUUCCAUCAAUGCUUAGUUUAUUGAGAGUCUUUAGCAUGAAGGGUUGCUGAAUUUUGUCAAAGGCCUUUUCUUCUUCUAUUGAGAUAAUCAUGUGGUUUUCAUCUUUGGUUCUGUUUAUAUGCUGGAUUACAUUUGUUGAUUUGCCUAUAUUGAACCAGCCUUGCAUCCCAGGGAUGAAGCCCACUUGAUCAUGGUGGAUAAGCUUUUUGAUGUGCUGCUAGAUUUGGUUUGCCAGUAUUUUAUUGAGGAUUUUUGCAUCAAUGUUCAUCAAGGAUAUUGGUCUAAAAUUCCCUUUUUUGGUUGUGUCUCUGCCAGGCUUUGGUAUCAGGAUGAUGCUGGCCUCAUAAAAUGAGUUAGGGAGGAUUCCCUCUUUUUCUAUUCAGUGGAAUAGUUUCAGAAGGAAUGGUACCAGUUCCUCCUUGUACCUCUCGUAGAAUUCGGCUGUGAAUCCAUCUGGUCCUGGAUUCUUUUUGGUUGGUAAGCUAUUGAUUAUUGCCACAAUUUCAGAUCCCAUUAUUGGUCUUUUCAGAGAUUCAACUUCUUCCUGAUUUAGUCUUGGGAGGUUGUAUGUGUCGAGGAAUUUAUCCAUUUCUUCUAGAUUUUCUAGUUUAUUUGAGUAGAGGUCUUUAUAUUAUUCUCUGAUGGUAGUUUGUAUUUCUGGGGGAUUGGUGGUGAUAUCCCCUUUAUCAUUUUUUAUUGCGUGUAUUUGAUUCUUCUCUCUUUUCUUCUUUAUUUGUCUUGCUAGCAGUCUAUCAAUUUUGUUGAUACUUUCACAAAACCAGCUGCUGGAUUCAUUAAUUUUUUGAAGAGUUUUUUUGUGUUUCUAUGUCCUUCAGUUCUGCUCUGAUUUUAGUUAUUUCUUGCCUUCUGCUAGCUUCGGAUUGUGUUUGCUCUUGCUUUUCUAGUUCUUUUAAUUGUGAUGUUAGGGUGUCAAUUUUGGAUCUUUCCUGCUUUCUCUUGUGGGCAUUUAGUGCUAUAAAUUUCCCUCUACACACUGCUUUGAAUGUGUCCCAGAGAUUCUGGUAUGUUGUGUCUUUGUUCUCGUUGGUUUCAAAGAACAUCUGUAUUUUUGCCUUCAUUUCGUUAUAUACCCAGUAGUCAUUCAGGUGCAGGUUGUUCAGUUUCCAUGUAGUUGAGCGGUUUUGAGUGAGUUUCUUAAUCCUGAGUUCUAGUUUGAUUGCACUGUGGUCUGAGAGACGGUUUGUUAUAAUUUCUGAUCUUUUACAUUUGCUGAGGAGUGCUUUACUUCCAACUAUGUGGUCAAUUUUGGAAUAGGUGUGAUGUGGUGCUGAAAAAAAUGUAUAUUCUGUUGAUUUGGGGUGGAGAGUUCUGUUGAUGUCUAUUAGGUCUGCUUGGUGCAGAGCUGCAUUGAAUUCCUGGGUAUCCUUGUUAACUUUCUGUCUCGUUGUUCUGUCUAAUGCUGACAGUGGGGUGUUAAAGUCUCCCAAUAUUAUUGUGUGGGAGUCUAAGUCUCUUUGUAGGUCACUCAGGACUUGCUUUAUGAAUCUGGGUGCUCCUGUAUUGGCUGCAUAUAUAUUUAGGAUAGUUAGCUCUUCUUGUUGAAUUGAUCCCUUUACCAUUAUGUAAUGGCCUUCUUUGUCUCUUUUGAUCUUUGUUGGUUUAAAGUCUGUUUUAUCCGAGAGUAGGAUUGCAACCCCUGCCUUUUUUUGUUUUCGAUUUGCUUGGUAGAUCUGCCUCCAUACUUUUAUUUUGAGCCUAUGUGUGUCUCUGCAUGUGAGAUGGGUUUCCUGAAUACAGCACACUGAUGGGUCUUGAUUCUUUAUCCAAUUUGCCAUUCUGUGUCUUUUAAUUGGAGCCUUUAGUCCAUUUACAUUUAAAGUUAAUAUUGUUAUGUAUGAAUUUGAUCCUGUCAUUAUGAUGUUAGCUGGUUAUUUUGCUCAAUAAUUGAUGCAGUUUCUUCCUAGCCUCGCUGGUCUUUACAAUUUGCUAUGAUUUUCCAGUGGCUGGUGCUGGUUGUUCCUUUCCAUGUUUAGUGCUUCCUUCAGGAGCUCUUUUAGGGCAGGCCUGGUUGUGACAAAAUCUCUCAGCAUUUGCUUGUCUGUAAAGUAUUUUAUUUCUCUUUCACUUAUGAAGCUGAGUUUGGCUGGAUAUGACAUUCUGGGUUGAAAAUUCUUUUGAUUAAGAAUGUUGAAUAUUGGCCCCCACUCUCUUCUGGUUUGUAGAGUUUCUGCCGAGAGAUCCGCUCUUAGUCUGAUGGAUUUCCCUUUGUGGGUAACCCGACCUUUCUCUCUGGCUGCCCUUAAUAUUUUUUCCUUCAUUUCAACUUUGGUGAAUCUGACAAUUAUGUGUCUUGGUGUUGCUCUUUUCGAGGAGUAUCUUUGUGGCGUUCUCCGUAUUUCCUGAAUCUAAACGUUGGCCUGCCUUGCUAGAUUGGGGAAGUUCUCCUGGAUAAUAUCCUGCAGAGUGUUUUCCAACUUGGUUCCAUUCUCCCUGUCACUUUCAGGUACACCAGUCAGACGUAGAUUUGGUCUUUUCACGUAGUCCCCUAUUUCUUGGAGGCUUUGUUCAUUUUUUUAAUUCUUUUUUCUCUAAACUUCCCUUCUCACUUCAUUUCAUCUUCCAUCACUGAUAUGCUUUCUUCCAGUUGAUCGCAUUGGCUCCUGAGGCUUCAGCAUUCUUCACGUAGUUCUCGAGCCUUGGCUUUCAGCUCCAUCAGCUCCUUUAAGUCCUUCUCUGUAUUGGUUAUUGUAGUUAUAAGUUCUUCUAAAUUUUUUCAAUGUUUUCAACUUCUUUGCCUUUGGUUUGAAUUUCCUCUUGUAGCUGAGAGUAGUUUGAUUGUCUGAAGCCUUCUUCUCUCAACUCGUCAAAGUCAUUCUCCAUCCAGCUUUGUUCCGUUGCUGGUGAGGAGCUUCGUUCCUUUGGAGGAGGAGAGGCACUCUGCUUUUUAGAGUUUCCAGUUUUUCUGCUCUGUUUUUUCCCCAUCUUUGUGGUUUUGUCUAGUUUUGGUCUUUGAUGAUGGUGAUGUGCAGAUGGGUUUUUAGUGUGGAUGUCCUUUCUGUUUCUUAUUUUUCCUUCUAACAGACAGGACCCCCAGCUGCAGGUCUGUUGGCGUUUUCUAGAGGUCCACUCUAGACCCUGUUUGCCUGGGUACCAGCAGAGGUGGCUGCAGAACAGCAGAUUUUCGUGAACCGAGAAUGCUGCUGUUUGAUUGUUCCUCUGGAAAUUUUGUCUCGGAGGAGUACCCGGCCGUGUGAGGUGUCAGUCUGCCCCUACUGGGGGGUGCCUCCCAUUUAGGCUGCUCGGGGGUCAGGGGUCAGGGACCCACUUAAGGAGGCAGUCUGCCCAUUCUCAGAUCUCCAGCUGCGUGCUGGGAAAACCACUGCUCUGUUCAAAGCUGUCAGACAGGGACAUUUAAGUCUGCGGCGGUUACUGCUGUCUUUUUGUUUGUGCCCUGCCCCCAGAGGUGCAGCCUACAGAUGCAGGCAGGCCUCCUUGAGCUGUGGUGGGC
Molecule: long non-coding RNA, 5785 nt
Filed under: Homo sapiens (human)
Lineage: Eukaryota; Metazoa; Chordata; Mammalia; Primates; Hominidae
Description: HSALNT0335508
Source: RNAcentral